Dermacentor andersoni is the source of this 866-nucleotide long non-coding RNA. RefSeq lists it as uncharacterized. Lineage: Eukaryota; Metazoa; Arthropoda; Arachnida; Ixodida; Ixodidae. The record is from RefSeq and is a predicted model, not a curated record.
UGCUGGAAACACUGGGAGGCAGGAAGUUUGAAAAAACGGCCACUGCCGCCCGCAAUGUCUCGGUCGUGGGCUGGUCGUGGGUUCGUUAUGCCAGUUGUGCGUCAUUCUAAGCCGUUCUGUAUAUUUAUACUGGAUAUUAAUUGGAGUCAUUUAGCUGUGCUGAUGCUGUUUGCCGUGUGUUUUGCAUCAGUGCUUCGUGACAUCGGCUGUAUUGCGUGUUUUCGCCGACGGCUUACUACCACAAUGGCGGGAUCUGCGUUCGCCGCCUUCGUGUCUCGGUGCGUCUUUGUACGUCGCACGUUCGGAUAACACUUUUUCCGACAGCUGGACAUCCUUCUUGUACCUUGGCGCUAGCUGGAUGACGGGACAUCAUGAUCAGUGUAUUGCUUGCCUAUGUCUACAAGAACCGUCACGCGUGGCCUGUGACAGCAAGCUUUUGUGGGCAACAAGUGCUCUCCUACGAAGGCUGGCCUACUCUGGCAGUGGCAGCAAUCAUCUUCAAGAUUUAUCCAUAAUCACCUUUGCUGCUUUUUGUCACUCUUGUUGAUUACACUUUCUGCGUCUUUUCUAAUUUAUUAGGUAAUAAAGUAUGAGUGUGUGACAUGGUGUGAAGUUGAUGUCUUGCUGCAUUUUCGCUUGCACUCAUCUUUUAUGCAUGAAAAGCUCAUCGUACAGUUUAUGAAAAAAAAUAAUAGCAUAUUAUGAUUUAUCUUUCAGUUCUGGUAACAUGCAACGUACAAGGAAUUCACUAAUGGAUGAUAUGCCGAAGAACUGGCCAUUAUUUCUGCGUGAUGCUGUGCAAGCAUGUGGCGUUACUUACAAGAGGCACCCACAAAGUAAGUUACAAUUUACUUUUAAAUGAAGCA